GAAAAACCUUACCCCCCCUUGACAAGUAACGAAAUUUCCAGAGAAGGGGGGGUGCUUGAAAGAGAACCUGAACACAGGUUCUGCAUGGGUGUUGUCAACUUGUGUUGUGAGAUUGUGGGUUAAGUCCCGCAACGAGCGCCACCCUUGCCCUUAAUUUCCAUCAUUUAGUUGGGCACUUUAAUGAGACUGCCGGUGACAAACCGGAGGAAGGUGGGGAUGACGUCAAGUCCUCAUGGCCCUUAUGGCCAGGGCUUCACACGUCAUACAAUGGUCGGUACAAAGGGUUGCCAACCCGCGAGGGGGAGCCAAUCCCACAAAGCCGGUCGUAGUCCGGAUUGCAGUCUGCAACUCGACUCCAGGAAGUGGGAAUCGGAAGUA
This 378-nucleotide ribosomal RNA is filed under the name uncultured bacterium. RNAcentral describes it as "partial 16S ribosomal RNA". It matches the Rfam family "Bacterial small subunit ribosomal RNA", at positions 963 to 1340 of the family's 1533-position model. The record is from RNAcentral.